This 253-nucleotide ribosomal RNA is filed under the name uncultured bacterium. Its description in RNAcentral is "partial 16S ribosomal RNA". It matches the Rfam family "Bacterial small subunit ribosomal RNA", at positions 524 to 776 of the family's 1533-position model. The record is from RNAcentral.
UACGUAGGGGGCAAGCGUUGUCCGGAUUUAUUGGGCGUAAAGAGCGUGUAGGCGGUCAGGUAGGUCCGUUGUGAAAACUCGAGGCUCAACCUCGAGACGCCGAUGGAAACCAUCUGACUAGAGUCCGGAAGAGGAGAGUGGAAUUCCUGGUGUAGCGGUGAAAUGCGCAGAUAUCAGGAGGAACACCGGUGGCGAAGGCGGUUCUCUGGGCAUUACCUGACGCUGAGGAGCGAAAGUGUGGGGAGCGAACAGG